Molecule: ribosomal RNA, 458 nt
Filed under: uncultured bacterium
Lineage: Bacteria
Description: partial 16S ribosomal RNA
Rfam family: Bacterial small subunit ribosomal RNA
Source: RNAcentral
AACGAACGCUGGCGGCAUGCCUAACACAUGCAAGUCGAACGAGACCUUCGGGUCUAGUGGCGCACGGGUGCGUAACGCGUGGGAACCUGCCCUUAGGUUCGGAAUAACUCCCCGAAAGGGGUGCUAAUACCGGAUAAUGUCUUCGGACCAAAGAUUUAUCGCCUUUGGAUGGGCCCGCGUUGGAUUAGCUAUUUGGUAGGGUAAAAGCCUACCAAGGCGACGAUCCAUAGCUGGUCUGAGAGGGUGAUCAGCCACGCUGGGACUGAGACACGGCCCAGACUCAGAGGGGAGGCAGCAGUAGGGAAUAUUACGGAAGGGGCGAAAGCGUGAUGGAGCAACGCCGCGGGAGUGAUGAAGGUCUUCGGAUCGUAAAGAUCUGUGAGUAGGAAAGAAGAGAAGUGUAUGUAACCGUGCAGAUCUUGACGGUACCUAAACAGAAAGCCACGGCUAACUGCGUG